RNAcentral lists this ribosomal RNA (467 nucleotides) under uncultured bacterium. Its description in RNAcentral is "partial 16S ribosomal RNA". It matches the Rfam family "Bacterial small subunit ribosomal RNA", at positions 28 to 506 of the family's 1533-position model. The record is from RNAcentral.
GACGAACGCUGGCGGCGUGCUUAACACAUGCAAGUCGAACGGAAAGGCCCUGCUUUUGUGGGGUGCUCGAGUGGCGAACGGGUGAGUAACACGUGAGUAACCUGCCCUUGACUUUGGGAUAACUUCAGGAAACUGGGGCUAAUACCGGAUAGGAGCUCCUGCUGCAUGGUGGGGGUUGGAAAGUUUCGGCGGUUGGGGAUGGACUCGCGGCUUAUCAGCUUGUUGGUGGGGUAGUGGCUUACCAAGGCUUUGACGGGUAGCCGGCCUGAGAGGGUGACCGGCCACAUGGGGACUGAGAUACGGCCCAGACUCCUACGGGAGGCAGCAGUGGGGAAUAUUGCACAAUGGGCGGAAGCCUGAGGCAGCAACGCCGCGUGCGGGAGGACGGCCUUCGGGUUGGAAACCGCUUUCGCCUGUGACGAAGCGUGAGUGACGGGAAUGGGGAAAGAAGCACCGGCUAACUACGU